This 315-nucleotide ribosomal RNA is filed under the name uncultured eukaryote. RNAcentral's name for it is "partial 18S ribosomal RNA". It matches the Rfam family "Eukaryotic small subunit ribosomal RNA", at positions 1470 to 1796 of the family's 1831-position model. The record is from RNAcentral.
CCCUUAGACGUUCUGGGUCGCACGCGCGCUACACUGACCAGUGCAACAAGCAUCCGUCCUUGGCCGACAGGCUCGGGCAAUCUUUGAACGCUGGUCGUGAUGGGGAUAGACUUUUGCAAUUUUUGGUCUUCAACGAGGAAUUCCUAGUAAACGCAAGUCAUCAACUUGCAUUGAUUACGUCCCUGCCCUUUGUACACACCGCCCGUCGCACCUACCGAUUGAAUGGUCCGGUGAAGCCUCCGGAUUGGCGCGCACCUCGGUGCCGCCGAGAAGUUGGCUAAACCUUACCAUUUAGAGGAAGGUGAAGUCGUAACA